This 3319-nucleotide long non-coding RNA is filed under the name Fukomys damarensis (Damara mole-rat). RNAcentral's name for it is "lncRNA (ENSFDAG00000022601.1)". Lineage: Eukaryota; Metazoa; Chordata; Mammalia; Rodentia; Bathyergidae. The record is from RNAcentral.
CAUGGAAUCAAUAUAGAAAUGAUUAAUGUUAAGAUUUAUAUUCUCUUUUCUUCCAAAUCUUAGAUAUCUGAUGUGUCAUCUCUCCAGAACAUCUCAGAACGGGCUCAUUCAUUGCCACUGCUCAGUAGCCAUAUGUUCCCAGUGGCUGCUACACUGGACACUGCGGUCCUGGGUGGUGGAAGUGGAGGCUUGGCAGCAGGGACUCAAGAACAACAGAGGAGAAAACAGCAUCAGUCUCCCUGUCCUCAGAAAACACAAGUGCAGCAGAUGGGAUCAAGCAGGCAGCGAAUUUGAAGCCCAGGAUGAGACUAAUGAAAAUAGGUUUAAAGAAGUGUUCCACAUAUCCCACAUUGUUUGCACCUUGAAAUAGUGACGCAAUUAUACCCAUUUCAGAGAUAAACAAAAUAGAUGUCAAAGAGAUGAUGUCACUUGUCCAAAGUUACCCAGAAUUUAAAUAUAGGUCUACAUGACUCCAAAACCAGAAAGAACUUGACGUAUUUAAAGAACUGAAAAUAGGCCAGGGUGGUCAGAGUACAGGAUGUGAGGGCCAGAAAAUGGAAAGAUUUAUAGGUCAUGGAGUGAAGCUUAGAUUUUUAUUAAUGGGGCCCUGGGGAAGCAGGAAAGGAUUUUAAAGCAGAGGACUGACAGGGCCAGAUCUGCAUUUUACAAGACUUUAUCUAGCUGCUGUUCUAAGAGUGGACUGGAAAGGAACAAGAGCCAGUAUGGAGACCAGCAGAGAGGCUGUGGCUGGAUGGUGUGGACAGAUGCUAAUGUAAUUAUGAGACAUUUGGGGACAAGUCACGGAAUUUGGCAACAGAUUGGAUUUAGAACUUGAAAGAAGAGAUAAAGGAUAAUACCAGGUGACCAACUUCCACAACUGAGUCGAAAGUGGUGAUAUUUCAAGUAAUAGAAGGAAAAUCUUUUGAGAGGAAACAGCCUUGGGGGCUUCUAAAGUAUAACCAACAUUUUAAUUAAAUCAGCACCUAUUGCCUACCAGGUCCCAGUCCCCAUACUUGAGAAAUGGAGUGACUCCCACAGUGUCUGCAGACUCACUCUGUCCUCCAACAAUGACCUCACCCUUAGCACACUCCUCUUCCCCAGCUCUCUUUUUUCUUGGGGUGAGUUCUUUCCCAGAAGGCACCUCUCCACUCCAUGCCGGCUGUACCCAGUGAUCCAGCUGAGUUUGUCUGAAACCUCAGAGGACACCAACAGGGCUCUGGACAUUGUUCAUUCCUCUCACUUUUGGUUAAGCCCUCCAGUCUCUUUAGCAAGGUCAACUAGAGUCCUCAAAAAUCUCCACUGGUCCAUGAGCUACAAAAAGUAACUACUUGGAAAAAUUCUAUUUCCCUACUUUCUAUUAUCUAUCUUUUAUUUUGAUUUUUGUUUAUAGUUCAGGUUUCUUGUAUAAAGAAACUGUGCAGUAUUUAAGUUUAUGCAUCUGAUUUGUUUCACUUGACAAUGUGGUCUCAAACUGUGUCCGUUUUUCUGCAGCUGACUCAAGUUUAUCCUUCUUUAUGGCAGACUAGUACUCCACUGUAUAUAAAUAUCACAUCUUCAUACAUUCACUCUUCUCUUGAUGGAGAUAUAUGCUGCUUCCAAGAUUUAGCUAUUAUGAAUUUUGCUGCGACACAUUUUUUCAUAUAUUUACUUGCUGCUUUUACUUCUCUGUCUGAGAAAUGUCAGUUCAUUUCAGAUGCCCAUUUUAGAAUUGGGUCUUAUAUUGGGGGGGCUGGUUGUUUUGGGUUCUUUAUAUAUCUUUCCUCCAGUGGGACUGGUCAGCUCCUUUGUCAAAGAUGAGGUAGCUGAGUACAUCUGGAGUUGUUUUUGUGUCUUCCAGUCUGUUCCACUGAUCCUCAGGUCUGUUUCUUUGCUAGUACCAUGCUGUUUUUAUCACAGUGGCUUUGUAGUAUAGUUUCAAAUUGGGAAUUGUUACACCUGCUGCCAUGUGUCUGUUGCCUAGGAUGACUUUUGCUAUUCUAGGUCUCUUAUGGUUCCAAAUGAAUUUUUGGAUUCUUUUUUCUAGUUCUGUGAAGUAUAGUGUUGGAAUUUCAAUUGGCAUUGCAUUGAAUAUGUAUAGCAUUUUUGGUAGUGUGGCCAUUUUCACUAUGUUGAUUCUUCCUACCCAGGAGCAGGGAAUAUCUUUCCAUUUUCUUAUAUCCUCUUUGAUCUCUUUUUUCAGAGUGCUGUAGUUUUCAGUGUAGAGGUCUUUUGCUUCUUUUGUUGGGUUGAUUUCUAGAUGCUUCAUUUUAUUGGAUGCUAUUGUGAAAGGAAUUGUUUCCCUAAUUUCUCUCUCAGUGAGUCUGUUAUUUGUGUACAAGAAGGCUAUUGAUUUUUGGGUGUUGACCUUGUAUCCAGCUACUCCACUACAAGUGUCAAUUAAGUCUAGAAGUCUUUUGGUGGAGUUUUUUGGGUCUUCAAUGUAGAGUAUCAUAUCAUCAGCUGCUAUCAAGAAAUCACACAAUAACAAAUGUUGGCAGGGUUGUGGGGAGAAAGGAACCCUUCUCCAUUGUUGGUGGGAGUCCAGAUUGGUGCAUCCACGAUGUAAAUCAAUAUGGAGAUACCUCAAAGAGCUAGGACUAGAGGUUCCAUUUGACCCAGCCAUCCCUCUGCUGGGUAUCUUUCCAAAAGAAUUAAAAGAAUCAUAUCACAGUGACAUAUGCACACCUAUGUUUAUAGCAGCACAGUUUGUAAUAGCUAAAACUUGGAAACAGCCCAUUUGCCCAUCCGUUGGAAACUGGAUAAAGAAGAUGUGUUUUUUCUAUAAAAUGGAAUACCACUCAGCCAUAAAGAAUGAGAAAUUAAAGUCAUUCAUAGGAAAAUGGAUACAUUUUGAGGAUAUACUCUUAAAUGAAAAAAAUAAGUCACACAUGUGUAAAUACUGAAUAGUUUCUCUGGUGUGAAAAACUAUAAUAGUACUCAAGAUCCUAAUGGGAUAAUUAACAAUGUGAAAAAGGAAGAAAAGGGCUAAAGGUGUAGGGAAAGUGGGAAGCAUAGGGAAGGGCAAUAAGGGAAAAGAAAAAAAUGUAAGAAAAUGAAAAAAUGGAAUUAAAGUGUUUGUAAAUGGGGAGGGGGGGUGAAGACAGAGUAGGGAUAAGGGGAAAAAAUGAGAACCAGGACCUGUCAUAUAAAGGUACUAGAUCCCAGUAAUGAAUGUAACUGUACUGUAUACCUAAAAUGUACCAAUAAACUCAAUAAAAAAAGAAUUUUGCUGCUAUGAACACUUAAAAAUAUAGUCAUUAUACAUUGCAAACACUAAUAAAAUAUAAAAACUGAAAAAAUAAAAUGUCUUUUAAAAAGUAACUUCUCGGAGCUCUGAGAA